This 264-nucleotide long non-coding RNA is filed under the name Mytilus galloprovincialis (Mediterranean mussel). Lineage: Eukaryota; Metazoa; Mollusca; Bivalvia; Mytilida; Mytilidae. The record is from RNAcentral.
CCCCCGACAUAUUUUCCGUAUGCAAAGUGACCUCAGUGUGACCCAUCUCGUAAAAAUCCGGUGAUCGCAAUACGCAUGGAUGUCCUUAAAAUAAACUAUUAUCUGAAUUUACAUGUUAAACACGUGCUCAAUUUCCAUGCUUUUUUGUUGACUUUUUGUUAAUUGUUGACAAACAGGUGGCAAUCGUUAAACUUCGGCUUCAAAACACGAACUUUAAUUACCUGCCAUAUUUUCACAACAAGACUGACCGAUUGAAAAAAAAAU